This is a long non-coding RNA of Felis catus (domestic cat), 675 nucleotides long. RefSeq lists it as uncharacterized. The record is from RefSeq and is a predicted model, not a curated record. The transcript has 3 exons. Lineage: Eukaryota; Metazoa; Chordata; Mammalia; Carnivora; Felidae.
CCUGGAUUUAAAUCCUGACUCUCCUAUUAACUCGCUGUGGAACCUUGGAAGCAAGUGCCUUAUUAGUCACUAUGCCUCAGACCCCUGGGUAGACUAGGUAUCCUAAUAACAGCACCUACUUCCUAGGAUUAGAGAGAACAUCUAUAAAGUGCUUGGGAUGUCACAUAGUCAGGGCUCAGUCAGUGUCAACUGUUAUUAUUCAGCAUGGCCGUGUUGGGUCCUCUUUGACAAGCCCGACACUCCUCAUUUCCCAACAACUCGGCUACCUUAAACAGACCCCAAGUUCCCGCAGGGCUGAGAAGCAGCUACUCUUAGAUUUUCCUGGUCACCCAACUGGAGGGGUUUCCAGACUCUCAGGAGCUUCUUGCCUCUCUAGCCUCAUCAGAACACCAAAUUCUCAGCAUUGCAAGUUCCUGUAACAUUUUACAACUUAAGUUGAUCGGCAAUCCUCCCAAAGCUGACACCCAUAUCCUGUGGGUAACAGAUGAUGAAAGGUGAGCUCAGCCAGCCCAGGGAGCCCAGUCCACAGUGCUCUCUGCUUCCAUCUGCUCUGUCAACCCUAGGUAUGUAUUUGUGCUAGACCUUGUGUAAAAAAAAGGCAAGCAGACCUGCUUCCAGCCUCAGGGAGCUCACCCCUGAAACCAACAACACGAAUGUAAGUCAAAAUUAGGAUCA